Molecule: RNase P RNA, 401 nt
Filed under: Sphingopyxis sp.
Lineage: Bacteria; Pseudomonadati; Pseudomonadota; Alphaproteobacteria; Sphingomonadales; Sphingopyxidaceae
Description: RNase P RNA component class A
Rfam family: Bacterial RNase P class A
About the family: Ribonuclease P (RNase P) is a ubiquitous endoribonuclease, found in archaea, bacteria and eukarya as well as chloroplasts and mitochondria. Its best characterised activity is the generation of mature 5'-ends of tRNAs by cleaving the 5'-leader elements of precursor-tRNAs.
Source: RNAcentral
UCAGGGGAUCGGGUGAUCGCCGCCGCUUCGUGCGGGGGAGGAAAGUCCGGGCUCCACGGAAACCACGGUGCCGGGUAACGCCCGGCGGCCGCUGUUUCGGCAGCGGUCAGGGACAGUGCCACAGAGAAAAUGUCGCCCCGGUUUCGACCAGGCGAAAGGUGAAAAGGUGCGGUAAGAGCGCACCGCGCGGCUGGUAACAGGCGCGGCAUGGCAAACCCCACUGGGAGCAAGGUCGAAUAGGGAUGGCGCGCCCUCGCGAAAGCGGGGCAGGACCUGGUUCCGGUCCGACCAUCCGGGUUGACUGCUUGAGCGUGCGGGCAACCGUCCGCCUAGAUGAAUGAUCGCCCAGCCCCGGCGCAGGCCGGGGUGGACAGAACCCGGCUUACAGAUCCCCUGACCCU